ACAGUACAAACUGAGCAGGCCGGGGCAGUGCCCUUGGAGCCGGGUCGCAUUGCGACAGUGGAUUUUGCACAUCCGCGGGACAGUA
This 85-nucleotide non-coding RNA is filed under the name Lachnospiraceae bacterium A4. RNAcentral describes it as "NiCo (Nickel/Cobalt) riboswitch aptamer". It matches the Rfam family "NiCo (Nickel/Cobalt) riboswitch aptamer". Lineage: Bacteria; Bacillati; Bacillota; Clostridia; Lachnospirales; Lachnospiraceae. RNAcentral also lists the same sequence under 1 other name. The record is from Rfam by way of RNAcentral.